RNAcentral lists this ribosomal RNA (497 nucleotides) under uncultured bacterium. RNAcentral describes it as "partial 16S ribosomal RNA". It matches the Rfam family "Bacterial small subunit ribosomal RNA", at positions 28 to 507 of the family's 1533-position model. The record is from RNAcentral.
GAUGAACGCUGGCGGCGUGCCUAAUACAUGCAAGUCGAGCGAACAGACGAGGAGCUUGCUCCUCUGACGUUAGCGGCGGACGGGUGAGUAACACGUGGAUAACCUACCUAUAAGACUGGGAUAACUUCGGGAAACCGGAGCUAAUACCGGAUAAUAUAUUGAACCGCAUGGUUCAAUAGUGAAAGACGGUUUUGUUGUCACUUAUAGAUGGAUCCGCGCCGCAUUAGCUAGUUGGUAAGGUAACGGCUUACCAAGGCAACGAUGCGUAGCCGACCUGAGAGGAUGAUCGGCCACACUGGAACUGAGACACGGUCCAGACUCCUACGGGAGGCAGCAGUAGGGAAUCUUCCGCAAUGGGCGAAAGCCUGACGGAGCAACGCCGCGUGAGUGAUGAAGGUCUUCGGAUCGUAAAGCUCUGUUAUUAGGGAAGAACAAAUGUGUAAGUAACUAUGCACGUCUUGACGGUACCUAAUCAGAAAGCCACGGCUAACUACGUG